ACGUUUGCGUCGCUCUGCCAGGAGCAGUCGCCUCCUCCUUGGCAAAUAGUCCUCGGCAGGGUCCGAGUUCUUGGAUAAUUCGAGAGAAAAGGCACGAUAAGUUGCAGUACGAGGACACGGAAACGACCAGGAGAGGAGGACAGGGAGCGAAGUUUCCGCAAUAGGGUCCAGUCCCAGGCUGUGGGUGUUGAGAAGAGAAGACAGAGAAGCUGGGCCAGGAGGGGCCGGGAGCCCCAGGGGCUGCUCCGACUUCUGGAGGGCCGACCCCGAGGCCUCGGACCGGGAGGUUCCGCGCGCAGCGGCGUUCCGUGUUGUGGCGUUGCCCCGCCGCUCCUGGCCCUGCGGACGUCAGCGUCUAAUAAUUCUCCCGGUCUUCCUGAUUGCUUGAAAGAGUCGGGACGGUUCGGUUGAUUGUGUUUCCCGGUUAGGACUUGGUGUAGGAGAUCCAUCGAACCACUCGCUCAGAGUAAUGUUUAUGAAGCAGAUUAUGUUUAUGAAGCAGAUUAAAUGGCUUUUGGGAGGCAAGAGCUGUCAAAUGUUUUCUCAUAUGCGGAUUCCCUCCCAGUGCUGAAUA
This 574-nucleotide small RNA is filed under the name Pan troglodytes (chimpanzee). RNAcentral's name for it is "processed transcript". The record is from RNAcentral. Lineage: Eukaryota; Metazoa; Chordata; Mammalia; Primates; Hominidae.